CGGAUUGUAGUCUGCAACUCGACUACAUGAAACUGGAAUCGCUAGUAAUCGCAGAUCAGAAUGCUGCGGUGAAUACGUUCCCGGGUCUUGUACACACCGCCCGUCACACCAUGGGAGUCGGAAAUGCCCGAAGCCGGUGACCCAACCAAAAGGAGGGAGCCGUCGAAGGCAGGUCUGAUAACUGGGGUGAAGUCGUAACAAGGUAUC
This 207-nucleotide ribosomal RNA is filed under the name uncultured bacterium. RNAcentral describes it as "partial 16S ribosomal RNA". It matches the Rfam family "Bacterial small subunit ribosomal RNA", at positions 1294 to 1500 of the family's 1533-position model. The record is from RNAcentral.